GUUGACCUCGGAUCAGGAGAAUCCA
Molecule: ribosomal RNA, 25 nt
Filed under: Colletotrichum gloeosporioides
Lineage: Eukaryota; Fungi; Ascomycota; Sordariomycetes; Glomerellales; Glomerellaceae
Description: partial 28S ribosomal RNA
Source: RNAcentral